ACUUAGCUGAUGAUAUUUCGAGUAGGAAUCUCAUUGAAAUAACCAUGAAAUCAAUAUUGUCUCAACUGAUA
RNAcentral lists this small nucleolar RNA (71 nucleotides) under Drosophila sechellia. RNAcentral's name for it is "snoRNA:GM27540". It matches the Rfam family "Small nucleolar RNA Me28S-Am2634", at positions 8 to 89 of the family's 97-position model. From Rfam's summary of the family: Me28S-Am2634 is a member of the C/D class of snoRNA which contain the C (UGAUGA) and D (CUGA) box motifs. This family directs 2'-O-methylation of 28S A-2634. The record is from RNAcentral. Lineage: Eukaryota; Metazoa; Arthropoda; Insecta; Diptera; Drosophilidae. RNAcentral also lists the same sequence under 1 other name.